AUAGAAUAACAAGAUGCGUAACGCCA
This 26-nucleotide non-coding RNA is filed under the name Drosophila melanogaster (fruit fly). The record is from RNAcentral. Lineage: Eukaryota; Metazoa; Arthropoda; Insecta; Diptera; Drosophilidae.